RNAcentral lists this ribosomal RNA (1934 nucleotides) under Triticum aestivum (bread wheat). RNAcentral describes it as "partial small subunit ribosomal RNA". The record is from RNAcentral. Lineage: Eukaryota; Viridiplantae; Streptophyta; Magnoliopsida; Poales; Poaceae.
CAAGGACCUUCUAGAUUGAAAAUUGCGUACAAAGCAAAAAAAAAGGAAGCCAAACUUGAUGGUUGGACACCAAAUUAUACAUGCCUUGAAACUAUAGGCAACAAACUAAAUUUUAGGAAGCAAGCCGUGCUUUGAUUAAGUUGUUAGAAAAUAAAUAAAUCACAAUUAAUGCAAAAUCCUGCAUGCAAUAAAUCAAUAAAUGCAAAAUCCUGCAUGCAAAGUGAGUAACGCAGGGAAGUUCGAUAGCAGAACAGACGAUGUAGGUGCAUGCAGACCGUCACAGAGAAGAUUGCCAGCAAAUUGAACGAUGUAGGUGCUUCAUAGGUUUCUUCUUCCAAACUGACUUUAUAAAUGUAAGAAGACCUGUUUGUGACCAAUAGCCCGUACAUAAUCCUGACAUUGGGGUACCAUAAAUUUCGAAGAUCAUGAGGGUGCUUAUACUAUUCGGUUUUAAUUUGUAGAGUUCCACAGCAAAAGUGGCUGUUGAAAGCUUGUACAUAUAUAUAUUUAAGUCAUUAAAUAUCAAAAGUAGUGUCAGGAAAAAUACUCGCAUUCAGUACAUACUUGCUAUGCAAAUAUAUUGGCAAAGUUUUAAGACAAGAUACAAAGACAAAUACCAAGCCCAAAGCCAAAUCUAGUUCAACCAUUGUUUAACAAACUGCUCAAUCAGACAGACCUGAAGAACAAAUAUUGCUCAACCAUUGUUUAACACAGUUUACGAAAGAACAAAUAUUGCUGAAAUAUACAACCUGAAGCUACCACAUACAAUGCAAGAUUUACACCUGAAGCACAAUGACAAAACUGGAUAUAGCCUAACUAGAGCUUUAACAUUGCUAGAGCUUCAACGUCUCAAAGCUUUCACCAGAGCAAAGGGAUCAAUCACCAUCGUCAUGUCAAGCCUGCAAAAAAAUAAAAGACUAGUAUCAGUUUCACGGCAUUUUAUGUUUGCAUCCAAUCAAUCUAUGGCAAAUCCCUCAUCCCAGACACAUCAAAUGGUACAAGGGCGACAGCAAGCACGUGAUAAGCGCAUGGGGCAGAGACAGCAAAAGUAAUGGCGCACGUGCUGCACGAAGCGCCCAGAUCCAAGCAGCAGCCGUAAGGAAUCUGAUGCAAAUCUACCAUGGAAAAUCAUGUGGCCACAAGUAGGACGAGGGGAUAAACGCAUCCAUGGGGAGAUCUAAGAGAUCUGCCACAAAUGGACACCGGUCCUGUAGAGCAGACGGCCGGUAGGGAAGGGAUGAAUACGAAGCAACAGUGACACCACGGCUCAAAAGCAAGGGAAUAAAGGUGCGUGCGAAGUACAAAGCACAACCUGAAUCUUUUAUUCACUAACUUGGGGAGAAAACAAAAUACCAAGGCUAUUCAAAUCUUGGCUUGGAAUAUAACCCAAGAAAAUACAAAGCUCACUCGAAUCUUGGUAGCAAAUACACAAUAAAUACCAAGCUCCUGGAGAGAUCUCGAGAAGAAGAAAUAGCUUCCGUUCAGAUCUGGAACGUGGGGCAUUUUAAAGAUUUGCAGCAGCUAGCAUGCAAUAGACGGCAGACGAAACUAAUUGACAGUAGAUCAAGAUGCAGAGCUCCCUUCAAUCCAAACAGCGGUCAGCGAGGGAUCGAAGCGGCUCCUCGGUCAUGCAAACCACAAGCCUAUCUCCUCGUAUUCUAAUGGAGAUAGGAUAGUGGGAACCAUGAACAAGCAGCUGCACAAACCCUUCGGUAGACCCUUCAUUGGAAUGAUAGGAGCUCCACCUCUAAACCAGAUCAAAGAAAACCAAGCAAAAAAGAAGAAGAUCUGUGGCUCACAAGCCAAAGCCAAGAACAAAGAGAACGAGCAUCCAUGGAGAUAUGCUGGCUAGAACUCGGUAGACAGUAGGCUACAUCUAUUGGGCUGGAAGAGAUGGAAGGGAAGAGAAAGAAAGAAACUAUCCUGUGGCGCUG